This 411-nucleotide ribosomal RNA is filed under the name uncultured bacterium. RNAcentral's name for it is "bacterial SSU rRNA". It matches the Rfam family "Bacterial small subunit ribosomal RNA", at positions 362 to 770 of the family's 1533-position model. The record is from RNAcentral.
UAUUGGUCAAUGGGCUUACGCCUGAACCAGCCAAGUCGCGUGAGGGAAGACUGCCCUAUGGGUUGUAAACCUCUUUUGUCAGGGAGCAACGCCGGCUACGUGUAGCCGGACUGAGAGUACCCGGAGAAAAAGCAUCGGCUAACUCCGUGCCAGCAGCCGCGGUAAUACGGAGGAUGCGAGCGUUAUCCGGAUUUAUUGGGUUUAAAGGGUGCGUAGGCGGGCUGUUAAGUCAGCGGUCAAAUGUCGGGGCUCAACCCCGGCCUGCCGUUGAAACUGGCGGCCUCGAGUGGGCGAGAAGUAUGCGGAAUGCGUGGUGUAGCGGUGAAAUGCAUAGAUAUCACGCAGAACUCCGAUUGCGAAGGCAGCAUGCCGGCGCCCUACUGACGCUGAGGCACGAAAGCGUGGGUAUCG